CUCGAAGGUUCGAUAAUGAUCC
RNAcentral lists this ribosomal RNA (22 nucleotides) under Scleroderma sp. 2-KBS-2009b. Its description in RNAcentral is "partial 18S ribosomal RNA". Lineage: Eukaryota; Fungi; Basidiomycota; Agaricomycetes; Boletales; Sclerodermataceae. The record is from RNAcentral.